This is an RNA transcript of Bombyx mori (domestic silkworm), 4292 nucleotides long. It is a transcript of the gene named integrator complex subunit 3 homolog, with no coding region annotated. The transcript is spliced from 4 exons. The record is from RefSeq and is a predicted model, not a curated record. NCBI's taxonomy places the organism in Eukaryota, Metazoa, Arthropoda, Insecta, Lepidoptera, Bombycidae.
AUUCUCUUACUUCGAUGGCUGUCACUUGUAUACGCACACAUUGAUAUGUUUGAUUGUAUUGCUUCAUAAACAUUUUUCGCCUACGAUAGCCAUGCAGGAGACAAUCUGUGCUACGUUUUUGACAAAAUAAUUAGUUUUUAAAUUCACAUAUUAUGGAGCAGGCCAAAUCUAAUUCACCCAAACUAUUUGUGAGCACCGCAAUAGAAAAUAAGGAUGAAGUGGAAGAGAGGUACGAAAGGGCUUACAACUAUUUUCAAUCUCUUGUAGCGGACUGCACCGAAAAAGAAGCACAUGACGCCCUUAAUAACGCAGUCUGUAAAAAUCAUGAGGAAGUUUCAGUUGGCAUGCUCAUGUCUAUACUUACAGAACCGCAGAAUGCUACAAAAUGUUACAGAGAUCUUACACUUAUAACCAGAGAUGGACUAACGUGUGUGCUUAAUAAUCUAUCCAAUUUAAUUUUAGAAAGGUACUUAAAGUUUUCGGACACUACAAGGAACCAAUUAAUGUGGCUAAUAAAAGAGAUGAUUAGAAAUGCAGUUACAGGAAUAGAUAAUGUUUGUUGGAAUUUAAUGCGAUACGCAUCCGGAGGCGAUAUAACACCCAAAAAUAUUAUAUUAGUAGAAUCUCUGUUGGACAUGUUUAUUGAACAUAGAGGUUGGUUGGAUAAGUUCCCUGUACUUAUAUGCAUGGUUGUGUAUACAUACUUAAGGCUUGUAGAAGACCAUAAUAUACCCCAGUUAAUGAACCUAAGACAGAAAGAAGUUAACUUUGUUAUCACUCUGAUAAGGGAACGUUUUACUGAUGUCUUAUCUUUGGGAAGAGACUUAGUAAGACUGCUUCAAAAUGUUGCUCGCAUACCAGAGUUCAAUCAGCUUUGGCAGGAUAUCUUGGUCAAUCCCAAAUCAUUAAGCCCUACAUUUACCAAUGUGCUACAAUUGUUACAAACACGAACAUCUAGAAGGUAUCUUCAGUCAAGAUUAACUCCGGACAUGGAAAGGAAAUUAGUUUUUCUAACUUCACAAGUUCGGUUCGGUCACCACAAAAAGUAUCAAGAAUGGUUCCAGAGACAAUAUCUUGCCACACCAGAGUCACAAUCACUAAGAAGUGAUAUGAUAAGGUUUAUUGUUGGAGUAAUUCAUCCCACUAAUGAACUUCUCUGUUCUGAUAUAAUUCCCAGAUGGGCAGUGAUUGGUUGGCUCCUUACAACUUGUACGUCAAAUGUAGCUGCAUCAAAUGCUAAAUUGGCCCUGUUUUAUGAUUGGCUUUUUUAUGACCCUGAAAAAGACAACAUUAUGAAUAUAGAACCUGCCAUCCUUGUUAUGCACCAUUCAAUGAGAUCACAUCCAGCAGUGACUGCAACAUUAUUAGAUUUCUUGUGUCGAAUCAUUCCAAACUUCUACCCACCAUAUGCAGAGAAAGUUAGACAAGGAAUAUUCAAUUCCCUUCAACAAAUAAUUGAGAAAAGGGUUUUGCCAAAUUUGCAUCCUCUGUUUGACUCUCAAAAGUUGGACCGAGAAUUGCGUUCCACUGUAAGAGAAACCUUUAAAGAAUUUUGUACGAAUGGGAAUGGUGAAGGUGUAUCUGGCAUACGCGAUGAGGGUACUGAUGAUGCAAUACCAAGAGUUGGGUCCGAUGAACCAGCAUUCUCGGAUGAUGAAGAAGAGACCAUUACACCAACUAUAGCAGAAGAUACUGAUGAUGAUGAUUUACCUUUAUCAGAAGUUCGUGCCAGAGAAAGACCUGAACUAGCUGCUGCACUGCCGUUAGUUUUGCGACCACUAGCAGAAACGCUUCUGGAUGAGCGAACAUCAUCUUCCGCAACUGCUUUGCUUGAUGCAUGCGGAUCUCCAUCGCCAACGCCGAAAGCUCUCGCAGAUCUUUUUGCUGCUGCGGUUCAAGAAGCAACACCUCUACGUAUAAGCAACAAUCCCGCUCCAGCCGAAUUAGAUAAUGCAAUAAAUUCACCGCUUUUUUCCAUGUUCAAUUAUCUAAUAGACUCGAGUAGUGGAGCUGAACAUAAACGGAAACUGGUAUUAGAAACGUUCAAAGAAAUCCACAGUCAAGGUUCUCUGAGAUGUGUCGGUUUUAGCCUACUGUUUUAUUUAAGAGUCUGCUACGAAAGAGAUCGUCGUUCAGAACGAGAUUCGGCGAAAAGACGUAACGUGAAAUUCAAAGCUGACGUUUAUAAGGACUACUGUAGUUAUUUAGAAUUAAAAUUAGCCGAGAGCUUAGCGGACGAUUUCGAAAGGUGCCAAGAAUACGACACCAAUGUUUUAGUUUGGUUAAUACCAGAUGUUUAUAGAGAGUUCAAAGACCAAGCACAGAAUCAUAUAAGAUUAUUGCAUGCAAUCGUAUCGACCCUAGAUGCGUGUCAACUUCAAAGACUAAUCUGUUUGACAUUGCAAGGAAAUUUAAUGAUGUUCAAAUCGGACGAUAUCACGACAAUGUUGUCGACCAGCCUUGGAUGGGAGACGUUCGAACAGUAUUGUCUGUGGCAACUGUUAACCGCCCAUGACAUAUCCGUUGAGGAUGUUUUACCGAUCAUUCCGAAGUUAUCAUUCAAAGAGCAUUCGGAGGCGCUCACGUCCGUUCUGUUGAUGUUGAAGCAGGAAAGACCGACCGCCGAUGUCGUAAGACAGUUGUUCUGUAGAACAUACGACGAGGAGGAUACAUCGGUGGUUUCAACGUUGAUGUAUUGGUGCCAAGAUUACGAAGAUAAAGUCGGUGAUUUAGUCGCGGCAUUGUUGAGUACGCGCUAUCCGGGUACUAGUCCGAACAAGCGAAAACGUCCAGGGAAACACAGCAUGCCACCAAACGCACCGCCGUCUGCAGAGUUGGUGCUCAAACAUUUGGAGCAGAUGAGAAUGUGCUGCGUUGAACAAGACGACAUGUCGAUUUUCAACAUGGAAUGUAUGCAGAAGGCCCUACAACAAGCUCAAUCGAAUAGUAGCGAUAGUUUAAGGGUAAGGAAGUUCAUUGUUUUAUUAAUAAAUAAUGACGGUAUUGUUCACGGUGAACAGAAAAAUUACAAGUGUAAGCAUUGAGGUCGUUAUCGUAACGGUCUAUAUACAAUGUAACCGAUUAUCAUGGUAAAAUACGAGUACCUUUUAUUGGGGCAAGGCUUUGAAAUAGGACGCCCACAUACGAGUACACAAUGGCUGAUUUUAUUUAAAAAAAAAACCUUUGACGUGUAAUAUGUACCCAGAAUUAAACGCCUUUUUUAUCAAGUCGGUUAAAGUAGUUGUUGAGAAUAAUCGACUGUCUACUUGACGUUUUCCGGAAUAACGCUUCGCCGCACCGCACUGAUGACCUCACGCUCGCGUCGGUACAGUCGUGUGAUUUUGUUCUUAUCAUCUAAAUAAAAAAACAUGUUGAAAUAUCUCAAAAAUAAACUACAUUUAUAAAUGAGGUUUUCAUCGAUGUACGCAAUAAAGUAAAAAGAUAAUUAAAUACAAUGAUAUAACUCUGUGUGAUUGAAAAAGUUAGCUUAGAAUAUUUGAGAGAAAAAAAACCUAAUAGAAUUAAUCAUGCAGCGAUGAAGAUGUCACAGGUUUAUGGACCAAUAUUCAUGUGCUAUCUAAGGUUGAUUUUAAAUAAUAAAAACGUUUGUUUGUAAUUUUAUGAUAUAGUUUUAAUUGUAGUUAAUUUACUGAACUACAAAACUUUUUUUUAUUGCUUAGAUGGGUGGACGAGCUCACAGCCCACCAGGUGAUAAGUAGUUCCCUGUACUAGAUCCCAUAGACAUAUACAACGUAAAUGCGCCACCCACCUUGAGAUAUAAGUUCUAAGAUCUCAGUAUAGUUGCAACGGCUGCCCCACCCCUCGAACCGAAACGCAUUACUGCUUCACGGCAGAAAUAGACGGGGUGGUGGUACCUGCCUACCCCUGUGGACUCACAAGAGGUCCUACCACCAGUAAUUCUGCUACAAUUACAAAUUUCCACUUUCGACAUUUAGGAUCUACCAUAAAUUACACAGCCAUAUUAAUAUAAAAUAUUUAAGCAACUAAAUUACCGUUUAUACUUUCUGAGCUGCACGACAAAAUUCGAUAACCGAUAGCAAAAUGUGGUUACGAUACUACAUUAAAUAUUAGUUAUUGUUCAGAGGUGUGUGGUAUAUGGGAAAAAUACAUUAAUUCUGACUUCUAAUAAUCUUUGUAUGUAUACGCCAAAUAAGAUAAAGUACUGUAAAACAGAGACAAUAUAGUGAAUUAUUUUCUUUGGCGUGGGAAGACGAAUUACCCAUAUCUAGACGUGCUAGGAAAUUAGUUUCGAAUUCAAUGCCAAUCAACGC